UUUGGUGGCAAUAAAUUAAAUGCCAUGAACUUGUAGUGGAAGCACUUUUAUGUUUGCAAUUAGGCUGCUGCAAUUGGAAAGAAGAGCUCCUUCUGCCAAGAAUGGUGAGUGACGCUGCCUUAAUUGCUAUGCCUCAACAUAACUGGCUGGCACAGAAUAAAACACACACUGUCAUCCUGCCCACAGGCCAACUACAUGCUGUGCUGUUUGGUAAGUCUCUUGCAUGGGAACUAUGAUGUACCUGUCAGCUGGCCCCAACAACCAAAUCAGUGUCAUGUGUCACAGGGUAUGGGGAACUCCUAGAGUAUUUAUUUCAUUCAUCUAUUGGGAAACUCUGCUGUGCUGAAGAAGGCUGUUGUGUUCUAGAAUCAGGGCAAAAGGGUGGCACUGUAGGUCAGCAUUGCUGGGCAGCUACCAAAGCCCAUGCUCCUUCAGAGGGCUUGCUAUCAACCCCUGGCCUUGCUUCUGUUUCUCCUCCUCGCUAUACUGCCUGAUCACCUGCCUUAUCUGAGCACGCAAGCUGCGACCAGAAGGAAAAGAUACAGAAGCAUCCUUCACUCGUACUGUGAACUGGCAGCAGAAGGAAGAAGUGAGGAGGUCACUGAAGGCAUCUCUCUCAAGGGCCCUCCAAAAGUUACUGUUGGCACUGGAUGGCAAGUCCAGCCAAACAAAUAUCAAACAGGUAACAGACAGACCCAGUGCCUGCAGAAAGAAGGAGAACAUCGCCACCCAGGGAAGGAGAGCCUGCUGUUGCUGCUGCUGUUGGAACACCACCUCCACCACCCUUCCCAGUGGGACUGCUGCCUGGCAGACGUGCCUCCUGCAGGACCAGGUCCCAGGUACCCAGCCAGCUGGGACUAAUUUCCAUCACCUGUCCCUCUUUGGAGGGAUACAUAAGCCGGCUGGCUGAGGUGGCCUGGGAGACCCAGUACCUGCAGGAAGAAGGAGAACAUCGCCACUCAGGGAAGGAGAGCCUGCUGUUGCUGCUGCUGUUGGAACACCACCUCCACCACCCUUCCCAGUGGGACUGCUGCCUGGCAGACGUGCCUCCUGCAGGACCAGGUCCCAGGUACCCAGCCAGCUGGGACUAAUUUCCAUCACCUGUCCCUCUUUGGAGGGAUACAUAAGCCGGCUGGCUGAGGUGGCCUGGGAGACCCAGUGCCUGCAGAAAGAAGGAGAACAUUGCCACCCAGGGAAGGAGAGCCUGCUGUUGCUGCUGCUGUUGGAACACCACCUCCACCACCCUUCCCAGUGGGACUGCUGCCUGGCAGACGUGCCUCCUGCAGGACCAGGUCCCAGGUACCCAGCCAGCUGGGACUAAUUUCCAUCACCUGUCCCUCUUUGGAGGGAUACAUAAGCCGGCUGGCUGAGGUGGCCUGGGAGACCCAGUGCCUGCAGAAAGAAGGAGAACAUUGCCACCCAGGGAAGGAGAGCCUGCUGUUGCUGCUGCUGUUGUUGGAACACCACCUCCACCAUCCUUCCCAGUGGGACUGCUGCCUGGCAGACGUGCCUCCUGCAGGACCAGGUCCCAGGUACCCAGCCAGCUGGGACUAAUUUCCAUCACCUGUCCCUCUUUGGAGGGAUACAUAAGCCGGCUGGCUGAGGUGGCCUGGGGUUUUGUCUUUUGUUUUUGUUUGUUUUUUCUUUUGGGUGCCAUUGGUUUUAGCUAUGGGUGGGUUCGGUUUUGUUUUAUAUUGUAGUUCUUGGGUUUUUAUGUAGUUUGUA
Molecule: RNA transcript, 1725 nt
Organism: Rhineura floridana
Lineage: Eukaryota; Metazoa; Chordata; Lepidosauria; Squamata; Rhineuridae
Exons: 2
Source: RefSeq, a predicted model, not a curated record